RNAcentral lists this ribosomal RNA (622 nucleotides) under uncultured Enterobacteriaceae bacterium. Its description in RNAcentral is "bacterial SSU rRNA". It matches the Rfam family "Bacterial small subunit ribosomal RNA", at positions 1 to 638 of the family's 1533-position model. Lineage: Bacteria; Pseudomonadati; Pseudomonadota; Gammaproteobacteria; Enterobacterales; Enterobacteriaceae. The record is from RNAcentral.
CGCCCUUAGAGUUUGAUCAUGGCUCAGAUUGAACGCUGGCGGCAGGCUUAACACAUGCAAGUCGAACGGUAUAGGUGCUUGCACCUGACGAGUGGCGGACGGGUGAGUAAUGUAUGGGGAUCUGCCGAAUGGAUUGGGACAACCACUGGAAACGGUGGCUAAUACCGAAUAAUGUUGAGAGACCAAAGUGUUUCGACAUGCCAUUUGAUGAACCCAUAUAGGAUUAGCUAGUAUGCGGGGUAAUGGCCCACCUAGGCGACAAUCUCUAGCUGGUCUGAGAGGAUGACCAGCCACACUGGGACUGAGACACGGCCCAGACUCCUACGGGAGGCAGCAGUGGGGAAUAUUGCACAAUGGGGGAAACCCUGAUGCAGCCAUGCCGCGUGUAUGAAGAAGGCCUUCGGGUUGUAAAGUACUUUCGGUAGUGAGGAAGGUUACUAUUAACAUAGUAAAUUGACGUUAAUUACAGAAAAAGCACCGGCUAACUCCGUGCCAGCAGCCGCGGUAAUACGGAGGGUGCGAGCGUUAAUCGGAAUGACUGGGCGUAAAGGGCAUGUAGUGGAUAAUUAAGUUAGGUGUGAAAGCCCCGAGCUCAACUUGGGAAUUGCACUUAAAACUGGUU